UGCCCAGCAACUCCUAUCCCUACCUCCUCGCGGUACUGGCGGGGGUACGAGUAACCUUAGGGAAGAUCGGGUAACCAACCCCCGGUGGGAACUUUGGUCGUAUGCUGACAGGGAAGG
Molecule: ribozyme, 117 nt
Filed under: Aedes aegypti (yellow fever mosquito)
Lineage: Eukaryota; Metazoa; Arthropoda; Insecta; Diptera; Culicidae
Description: drz-agam-1 ribozyme
Rfam family: drz-agam-1 ribozyme
Source: Rfam by way of RNAcentral